UACGUAGGCAGCGAGCGUUGUUCGGAAUUACUGGGCGUAAAGGGCUCGUAGGUGGCCAACUAAGUCAGACGUGAAAUCCCUCGGCUUAACCGGGGAACUGCGUCUGAUACUGGAUGGCUUGAGUUCGGGAGAGGGAUGCGGAAUUCCAGGUGUAGCGGUGAAAUGCGUAGAUAUCUGGAGGAACACCGGUGGCGAAGGCGGCAUCCUGGACCGACACUGACGCUGAGGAGCGAAAGCCAGGGGAGCAAACGGG
Molecule: ribosomal RNA, 253 nt
Filed under: uncultured bacterium
Lineage: Bacteria
Description: partial 16S ribosomal RNA
Rfam family: Bacterial small subunit ribosomal RNA
Source: RNAcentral